UCCCAGUGGCUCAGAGGUAAAGUAUCUGCCUACAAUGCAGGAGACCUGGGUUCAAUCCCUAGAUUGGGAA
Transfer RNA from Ovis aries (sheep), 70 nucleotides. It matches the Rfam family "tRNA". Rfam says of the family: Transfer RNA (tRNA) molecules are approximately 80 nucleotides in length. Their secondary structure includes four short double-helical elements and three loops (D, anti-codon, and T loops). Further hydrogen bonds mediate the characteristic L-shaped molecular structure. tRNAs have two regions of fundamental functional importance: the anti-codon, which is responsible for specific mRNA codon recognition, and the 3' end, to which the tRNAs corresponding amino acid is attached (by aminoacyl-tRNA synthetases). tRNAs cope with the degeneracy of the genetic code in two manners: having more than one tRNA (with a specific anti-codon) for a particular amino acid; and 'wobble' base-pairing, i.e. permitting non-standard base-pairing at the 3rd anti-codon position. NCBI's taxonomy places the organism in Eukaryota, Metazoa, Chordata, Mammalia, Artiodactyla, Bovidae. The record is from Rfam.